GUGGGGAAUUUUGGACAAUGGGCGCAAGCCUGAUCCAGCAAUGCCGCGUGCAGGAAGAAGGCCUUCGGGUUGUAAACUGCUUUUGUACGGAACGAAACGGUCCUGGUUAAUACCUGGGGCUAAUGACGGUACCGUAAGAAUAAGCACCGGCUAACUACGUGCCAGCAGCCGCGGUAAUACGUAGGGUGCGAGCGUUAAUCGGAAUUACUGGGCGUAAAGCGUGCGCAGGCGGUGCUGUAAGACAGGCGUGAAAUCCCCGGGCUCAACCUGGGAAUUGCGCUUGUGACUGCAGUGCUGGAGUACGGCAGAGGGGGAUGGAAUUCCGCGUGUAGCAGUGAAAUGCGUAGAUAUGCGGAGGAACACCGAUGGCGAAGGCAAUCCCCUGGGCCUGCACUGACGCUCAUGCACGAAAGCGUGGGGAGCAAACAGGAUUAGAUACCCGGGUAGUCC
This 450-nucleotide ribosomal RNA is filed under the name uncultured bacterium. RNAcentral's name for it is "partial 16S ribosomal RNA". It matches the Rfam family "Bacterial small subunit ribosomal RNA", at positions 354 to 796 of the family's 1533-position model. The record is from RNAcentral.